Molecule: transfer RNA, 72 nt
Filed under: Bos taurus (domestic cattle)
Lineage: Eukaryota; Metazoa; Chordata; Mammalia; Artiodactyla; Bovidae
Also listed under: 3 other names
Rfam family: tRNA
About the family: Transfer RNA (tRNA) molecules are approximately 80 nucleotides in length. Their secondary structure includes four short double-helical elements and three loops (D, anti-codon, and T loops).
Source: Rfam by way of RNAcentral
UCCCUGGUGGUCCAGUGGUGAAGACUUUGCCUUCCAAAGCAAAGGGCACAGGUUGGAUCCCUGGUCAGAGAG